CNANGGGGCACCUGAUGGAGCACGCCGCGUGCAGGAUGAAGGCCUUCGGGUUGUAAACUGCUUUUAUUUGUGAAGAAUAUGACGGUAACAAAUGAAUAAGGGUCGGCUAACUACGUGCCAGCAGCCGCGGUCAUACGUAGGACCCAAGCGUUAUCCGGAGUGACUGGGCGUAAAGAGUUGCGUAGGUGGUUUGUAAAGCGAAUAGUGAAAUCUGGCGGCUCAACCGUACAGGCUAUUAUUCGAACUCACAAACUCGAGAAUGGUAGAGGUUACUGGAAUUUCUAGUGUAGGAGUGAAAUCCGUAGAUAUUAGAAGGAACACCAAUGGCGUAGGCAGGUAACUGGACCAUUUCUGACACUAAGGCACGAAAGCGUGGGGAGCGAACCGGAUUAGAUACCCGGGUAGUCCACGCCGUAAACGAUGGAUACUAGCUGUUGGAGGUAUCGACCCCUUCAGUAGCGAAGCUAACGCGUUAAGUAUCCCGCCUGUGGAGUACGGUCGCAAGACUAAAACAUAAAGGAAUUGACGGGGACCCGCACAAGUAGUGGAUCGUGUUCUUUAAUUCGAUGCUAAACGAAAAACCUUACCAGGGUUUGACAUCCUUGGAAUUUCUGCGAAAGUAGAAAGUGCUUUAUUGAACCAAGUGACAGGUGAUGCAUGGCCGUCGUCAGCUCGUGUCGUGAGAUGUUUGGUUAAGUCCAUCAACGAGCGCAACCCUUGUGAAUAGUUGAAUUUUUCUAUUCAGACUGCCCCGGUAACGGGGAGGAAGGGGGGGAUGAUGUCAGGUCAGUAUUUCCCUUACAUCCUGGGCUAGAAACACGAUACAAUGGCAAGUACAAUGCGCAGCGAANCCGCGAGGUGGAGCAAAUCGCAUCAAAGCUUGUCCCAGUUCGGAUUGGANGCUGAAACUCNCCUCCAUGAAGUCGGAAUUACUAGUAAUCNCANA
RNAcentral lists this ribosomal RNA (946 nucleotides) under uncultured bacterium. RNAcentral's name for it is "bacterial SSU rRNA". It matches the Rfam family "Bacterial small subunit ribosomal RNA", at positions 369 to 1348 of the family's 1533-position model. The record is from RNAcentral.